AUUGAACGCUGGCGGAAUGCUUUACACAUGCAAGUCGAACGGCAGCACGGGGCAACCUGGUGGCGAGUGGCGAACGGGUGAGUAAUACAUCGGAACGUGCCCAAUCGUGGGGAUAACGUAGCGAAAGUUACGCUAAUACCGCAUACGAUCUACGGAUGAAAGCGGGGGAUCGCAAGACCUCGCGCGAAUGGAGCGGCCGAUGUCAGAUUAGGUAGUUGGUGGGGUAAAGGCUCACCAAGCCAACGAUCUGUAGCUGGUCUGAGAGGACGACCAGCCACACUGGAACUGAGACACGGUCCAGACUCCUACGGGAGGCAGCAGUGGGGAAUUUUGGACAAUGGGCGCAAGCCUGAUCCAGCCAUUCCGCGUGCAGGAUGAAGGCCUUCGGUGUAAACUGCUUUUGUACGGAACGAAACGGCGAGCUCUAAUACAGUUUGCUAAUGACGGUACCGUAAGAAUAAGCACCGGCUAACUACGUGCCAGCAGCCGCGGUAAU
RNAcentral lists this ribosomal RNA (496 nucleotides) under uncultured bacterium. RNAcentral's name for it is "bacterial SSU rRNA". It matches the Rfam family "Bacterial small subunit ribosomal RNA", at positions 30 to 524 of the family's 1533-position model. The record is from RNAcentral.